Myotis brandtii (Brandt's bat) is the source of this 4506-nucleotide long non-coding RNA. RefSeq lists it as uncharacterized. The transcript has 3 exons. The record is from RefSeq and is a predicted model, not a curated record. NCBI's taxonomy places the organism in Eukaryota, Metazoa, Chordata, Mammalia, Chiroptera, Vespertilionidae.
GAGGUCAAAGGUGAGUCUAGAGUGGGAGGGAGGGUGGGGCCCUGGAUGGCAGCCCCUGGGAGAUACCAUUAAAGCAGCCCAGCAGCUUAGCACCCACCCCCAAAAUAAAACAGCCUUCCUAGGAAUAAAGACAACUUCACACCAGGUCCUAGUGCCCUCCAUCGCUGGCUCCAUUAAGACCCUGGAGGGGAGAGGCUGCAGAUGCUCAGAACCUGUCUGAGCAGAUUCCAUUCUUUUCCUAGAUGCUUUGUCUUUAUUCCCUCCAUUUUUCUGAAGUGAAGACAGCCCUGCCCCUCAGAGUUUACAAAGCUCUCUCAAAGCAACAGCAGUCACAUCUGGGAUGGGCAGGCAUGACAAGGAGUGAGAUCCCGUGGACUUUGAAUCACAGGGGAGAUUCUGAAUCUGGGCUGGAAUCUGCAUUUCAUACAACCUCCAAGGUGAAAUCUAGAUCCCAGGAAAAGAGAUGGAAUGGAGAAAAGAGGGUGGUUCGAGGCAGGUAAAAAAAAAAUAAAUAAAUAAGGGCUGACAAAGGAGAGGAAGAGGCUGAGGACACCGGGAGGUCAGGGGCCUCAUCCCUUUGAUGUGCAGCUAGAAGAGAGAAGGGCUCCCAAGCUUGGAAGUUCUCGAGGAGCAUCCCCAGGGUGCAGCGGGGGUGGAGCUGGGUUUGGGAAUUAGGCAGCAAAACUAAAAUAGAACAGUAGCUCAUCCAUGGCCUCCAACCUGGACAUCUGGGUUGAUUUCCAGUUCUUAUCCUGGUCUCACCAACUCCUUCAGGUGGGUCUACAGCUGACUACCUCCCCUGACUCCAGAGCCUUUGCCCAGGUUUGUCCCUCUCUCAAGAAUAGAUUAUAGCAGGAAGGGAAAGGGAAGACACCAAGAAGAACUUCCUGAUAGUCCAGGAAGAGAGGGGCUCAAAGGUGAGGUGAUAAAACCCAAGGAGACUUCCCUCAGAUUAGAAAGUGGAGAAGCUGAUGGAGAAGAUGACCAGAAUCAGGAAUGGCUGGUAAGGGUGAGGGUCCAAGGGGACGGCUGGAGAACACCCUCCCUCAUCCUAGCCUGUACAGAUAGACACCCCAAACUCUACUGCUUUGCUCCUGGGCAAAGGCUCCAUAGUUGCUUCCUUGGUGAUUUCAGCCACAGCCUCUGAUCAAAACUCCCUACGUCCACGCUCACCUCCGAUUGUCGGUUGUUCUCCACAGAGCUGUCAGGGCAACGGAAGUCAAAUCACUUCGCUCUCCUGCUUAAAGUGUGAACCCCAAACUCUUCCCCUCGGCCGCCAAGGCCCCGCGUGGUCUGAGGCUGCGUACCUCUUUGGCCUGCCUCUGCUGGCCCUUUACUUUCUAGAGCUCUGGCCUCCUUUCAAAGCUCAUCAGCUUGAUCCCUCUUCCCCAGAUCUUUGCCUGCCUGCUUUUUCUGGCCAUUGAAGUUUUAGUUCACUUUGUCACCUCCUCAGAGGUCUUCUUUGACCACCCAGACCAAAGUGGUCCCCCUCCCAGUCCUUUCUUGCAUCCAUUUUAUUUCUUCCCCAGCACGGUAUGGGUCCCUGAAUUUAUUGUGUUCACAUGUUUCUUGUCCAUCUCUUCAACCAAGAAGUUAAGCUUGCUGAGGGCAUGGGACUUAUCUGUCUUUUCAUCUGAUUCCCCAGUACCCCAGGAAGGGGUCUGGCUCAGAAUAGGCACUCAAUGCAUCAUUUGUCAACUUUGUGAAUAAAGAUAGAAUGACCUCUGUCCUCAGGCUGGUGGGAGCCAGGGUGGCAGGCCUGGGAGCAAGAACUGAAGAGAUCCUGACCAACCAGCCCUUCCUUCACCCUGAGGGCACCCCCUCUCCACCACCAGGUACCAUUAGAGGCAGGUCCUCUGGGGAAAACCCUUCUCACGUGGGACACUUGAGGCCGUGGCAGGAAAAUUCUUCACCAACUUGCUUUAAAUAUCAUGUUUGGUCUUGAGUGUACGCCACUCUUUAAAACUCAAGUGUUUUAUUAAAAUAGAUGUUUAUAGGCAGUUGACUUCUUGACAGAGGGAUUGGGCAGAGGCGGUUUAAGAACCAGGAGCCACCAACAGCUAAAGAAUUGAUGAAACAUCAACGUAAAACAAUUCUAAAGUGACUAAGUAAGUCAGUAGGACACGAAACCCCUUGGCAAAAACACAAACACACAGGGAGCACACAUCUUUUCAGAAGCGCCACUCGGGCACAAAGGCAACCAUCCCCUAACUGGCCUGGAUCACGAAUCUGGGGACAUUGUUAAAACGUGGAUUCCAAGCCACCCCCCAAGUCUCAUUCCAUAGGCCCUGGGUGGGGUCCAGGUGUCUUUAUUUUUAACAAGUGCCUGUAAGAAUGGGCAAGAUUGGUGCAAGCCUACGUUCAUCCACGCUGUGUCCUCUGGCCCAACCACAGGUGGCUGGAUGGGGGUAAUGGGAGCAGGAUGAGCAACAUGUCCCUCCCUGCUACUCGGCAAGGCGGGACCUGAGGACGGGAGGUGGGGGUGCAGACCAUGGGGAGGCUGACGCACUAGAAUCCCCUCUGGGGCUUCAUUAACUGCUGCUUUCUACUGAGGUAAUGGCUGGGGGCAUCUCCUACUGACGUCACAUGCCAGUUCACAUGACAACCCUAGGGUUCAUCUUGCCUUGCCUUCUACCCCAGGCCUGAAGAUUUGGCCAGGACCUCCUCUCCACAGCAGACCCAGAGGCUGUGUGCCACGCCCAGCACACAGACCACACUCCAGAAGAGGCAGUGCCACCCUCUUCCCAGGGCCAGGAGAAAUCAGUGGAGGGCCCGAUCGCAGGAUGAAGGGGCCUCUUAAGGGAUCCCAGUGGAGAGGUGGGGAGCCAUCCCCCAAAGCUUCUGCUCCUCUGUGUCAAUGCUGGCCUCAGCUCUCACCCUUACCCUGCCCCCACCCUCUGCACUGGAAGGAACCAGUUCUGUACCUAUGGAGCAGACAUCUGUCCCCAAGAACCUUCUAGAAGAGAUGGCGACGGAAAUACGUAGAAGGAGGCACAAAUGGACCAGCUGCUGCCAAAAUGCCAACCUCUGAGCCCACUCCCCGAUCACAGCCCUGGGAGCUGCCCACUGUGGGGAGCGCUGGGACCCUCAACUGACAGACAAGGAGCCUGGUGAGCCAGACAGAAAUCAGGCGCUGGGAAAGGAAGUCUUUGAGAGACGUGGAAACUGACACCUCCGCGUUCUUCAGCUCCAGCCCAGCUCCGGAACCUCGGGAGGAGGAUGGGCAGCCCGGGCAUAGCUCUGCCUGCAGCUCGCAGCGGGGCACCCAGGGCUUGCCGAGUCUGGGAGAUGUGCACAGUGCCCCAGAACCCCCAGGCCCCUCCAGCACUCGAGUCGCCAGUGAGCCACGAAUUCCACAAAAUGUUUCGAGCACUUGCUCUAUGCUAAAUACUCAUCCUGUAACAUAUAUAAUUUUGGGGGAUACCACAGUGGUCAGGACAGAUCCAGUCUCACUCCAAGGAUCUAAUCAGGAAUCUUUCCUUCCUACACCAAGCUUUUAUAGAGGGUUCCAGAGGAGCAGGGUUUGAGCUUUAAAAAAAAAAAAAUCACCAAGAAUACCCAGGUGGAGGGCUGGGGAGAGUCUAAAGAAGAGAAAAGCCUUCGAAAAGGUUUCUUGGUUUUCAGAGAGUUAAAAUAAAGGGACCCUAAGAUGGGGGUGUUAACCCUUCCUUCUGAGACCAAACACCAUUCGCCUCCUACCUGCAGCCCCACCAGCGACACCCUCAGGCCCCACCAAAACACACCAAUGACUCCAACCAGGAGACCCCCCCGGAACACUUCCCCACUGAACCAAGGCCCAGCUCCUGACCCCACCUCAGCCAGCGUGCAGCUACAGCUAACCCACUGGUACACAAGUGGGGGCAUUUGCCUGGGGUAGAGGAAUUCAGGAGGAAAGGAGGAGGCUCAGUUGCCAUCAGAAUGACAAUUAAGGCUAUUAGGGGAAGGGGGGAGCUCAAAGCCCUCUUUGACAAAGUGCUGCAAAAAAGAAUUAUUUAAAUGUUUGUUGUUCUUUUGGCUCAGACAGAAAAUUGUUUGGCACUGGGAGUUGGGAAGCAGAGAAACCAAGAGUUUAGGUAAAAACCAAUGUUUUGGCAACUCCUGAAGAUACGUCACAAAUUAAUUGCUCUUUCUCCUCAUCUUCCUGUUCCUUGCACCCCUCCCCCCAACACCCCAACACACACCUCAGCCUGGUGGUUGCUGCCAAACAAACUUUGCAAAUGAAAAUUUCAACCAGGAAAACGGGCCUGGGGCCAAGUUCCAUUCAAAUAAGCAAAUAGCCCACACAAUGGUCUGAUUCAUCCCCAGGCCUAGUUACACAAGCCCGGCUCGGGGUAGAGAAAAUAAAUAUCAAUAUAAGUGUCCAUGCUGGGCACUGGGGACCGCAGGAAGGCCGGGGCCUUGGGGAGGGGGCUUGCAGAGCUUCUGCGGCCGGGGAGAGAGGAAGUGGGCUGGGUUGGAAUAGCGGGGUUGAGAGCACCCCCCACCCCAGUAAUGGAAAAGGUCAUA